RNAcentral lists this unclassified non-coding RNA (248 nucleotides) under Articulospora sp. RNAcentral describes it as "partial internal transcribed spacer region". The stretch from base 1 to 46 matches the Rfam family "Eukaryotic small subunit ribosomal RNA", at positions 1786 to 1831 of the family's 1831-position model. The record is from RNAcentral. Lineage: Eukaryota; Fungi; Ascomycota; Leotiomycetes; Helotiales; Discinellaceae.
AAGUCGUAACAAGGUUUCCGUAGGUGAACCUGCGGAAGGAUCAUUACCGAAGUACAGGCCCUCUCGUAGGGCUAAACUUCCACCCUUUGUGAACUACACUUUGUUGCUUUGGCGAGACGCCCUCGUGGCCACCGGCUCCGGCUGGUGCGCGCUCGCCAGAGAAAACCCAAACCCAAACCAUAUUUAGUGAUUUGUCUGAAAACAAGUUUAAUUAUUUAAAACUUUCAACAACGGAUCUCUUGGUUCUG